RNAcentral lists this ribosomal RNA (426 nucleotides) under uncultured bacterium. Its description in RNAcentral is "bacterial SSU rRNA". It matches the Rfam family "Bacterial small subunit ribosomal RNA", at positions 355 to 772 of the family's 1533-position model. The record is from RNAcentral.
UGGGGAAUCUUGCGCAAUGGGCGAAAGCCUGACGCAGCCACGCCGCGUGAGUGAAGAAGGCCUUCGGGUUGUAAAGCUCUGUCGGGAGGGACGAACAUCUUAUUGGUGAAUAGCCAGUAGGACUGACGGUACCUCCAAAGGAAGCACCGGCUAACUUCGUGCCAGCAGCCGCGGUAAUACGAGGGGUGCAAGCGUUGCUCGGAAUUAUUGGGCGUAAAGGGUAGGUAGGUGGUCUCGUUUGUCAGGGGUGAAAGCCUUGGGCUUAACCCAAGAAGUGCCCCUGAAACGGCGAGACUCGAGUUCUGGAGAGGGUCGUGGAAUUCCCGGUGUAGCGGUGAAAUGCGUAGAGAUCGGGAGGAACACCAGAGGCGAAGGCGGCGACCUGGACAGAUACUGACACUCAACUACGAAAGCGUGGGGAGCAAA